RNAcentral lists this ribosomal RNA (253 nucleotides) under uncultured bacterium. RNAcentral describes it as "partial 16S ribosomal RNA". It matches the Rfam family "Bacterial small subunit ribosomal RNA", at positions 524 to 776 of the family's 1533-position model. The record is from RNAcentral.
UACGGGGGGGGCAAGCGUUGUUCGGAAUUACUGGGCGUAAAGGGCGCGUAGGCGGUUCGCUAAGUUGGAUGUGAAAACUCUGGGCUCAACCCAGAGCCUGCAUCCAAAACUGGCGGGCUAGAGUUCUGGAGGGGGUAGCGGAAUUCCUGGUGUAGCGGUGGAAUGCGCAGAUAUCAGGAGGAACACCGGUGGCGAAGGCGGGUCUCUGGGCCGACAUUGACGCUGAGGAGCGAAAGCGUGGGGAGCGAACAGG